UACAGAGGGUGCGAGCGUUGUCCGGAAUCACUGGGCGUAAAGGGCGCGUAGGUGGCCCGAUAAGUAGGGGGUGAAAUCUCGAGGCUCAACUUCGAGGCUGCCUUCUAAACUGUCGGGCUUGAGCAGAGUAGAGGCAGGUGGAAUUCCCGGUGUAGCGGUGGAAUGCGUAGAGAUCGGGAAGAACACCAGUGGCGAAGGCGGUCUGCUGGGCCGUUGCUGACGCUGAGGCGCGACAGCGUGGGGAGCAAACAGG
RNAcentral lists this ribosomal RNA (253 nucleotides) under uncultured bacterium. RNAcentral's name for it is "partial 16S ribosomal RNA". It matches the Rfam family "Bacterial small subunit ribosomal RNA", at positions 524 to 776 of the family's 1533-position model. The record is from RNAcentral.